GAUCCUGGCUCAGAACGAACGCUGGCGGCGUGCCUAACACAUGCAAGUCGAACGAGAAAUCUUCGCUUCGGCGAAGAGAGUAAAGUGGCGAACGGGUGAGUAAUGCGUGGGUAAUCUACCCUUGAAUUGGGGAUAACCCGCCGAAAGGCGGACUAAUACCGAAUAAUGUCCCCGAAUCUCUGGUUUUGGGAAUUAAAGGUGACCUCUUCAUGAAAGUUGCCGUUUGGGGACGGGCUCGCGUACCAUUAGCUUGUUGGUAGGGUAAUGGCCUACCAAGGCAACGAUGGUUAGCUGGUCUGAGAGGAUGAUCAGCCACACUGGAACUGGAACACGGUCCAGACUCCUACGGGAGGCAGCAGUGAGGAAUUUUGCGCAAUGGGGGAAACCCUGACGCAGCAACGCCGCGUGAGCGAAGAAGGCCCUCGGGUCGUAAAGCUCUGUCAAGUGGGAAAAACCAUAUGGUGUUAAUACCGCCAUAUGCUGACGGUACCACUAAAGGAAGCACCGGCUAACUCCGUGCCAGCAGCCGCGGUAAUACGGGGGGUGCAAGCGUUAUUCGGAAUUACUGGGCGUAAAGGGCGCGCAGGCGGUCCUUUAAGUCAGAUGUGAAAGCCCUGGGCUUAACCCAGGAAGAGCAUUUGAUACUGCCAUUCUUGAGUAUGGGAGAGGAGAGUGGAAUUCCUAGUGUAGAGGUGAAAUUCGUAGAUAUUAGGAGGAACACCCGGUGGCGAAGGCGACUUCCUGGACCAAUACUGACGCUGAGGCGCGAAGGCGUGGGGAGAAAACAGGAUUAGAUACCCUGGUAGUCCACGCCGUAAACGAUGAGAACUAGGUGUAGCGGGUAUUGACCCCUGCUGUGCCGAAGUUAACGCAUUAAGUUCUCCGCCUGGGGAGUACGGCCGCAAGGCUAAAACUCAAAGGAAUUGACGGGGGCCCGCACAAGCGGGUGGAGCAUGUGGUUUAAUUCGACGCAACGCGAAGAACCUUACCUGGGUUUGACAUCCUUUGACCGCCUUGAAACAAGGUUUUCCCGACUCUGUCGGAACAGAGUGACAGGUGCUGCAUGGCUGUCGUCAGCUCGUGUCGUGAGAUGUUGGGUUAAGUCCCGCAACGAGCGCAACCCUUGUCUUUAGUUGCCAGUAUUAAGUUAGGCACUCUAGAGAGACUGCCUCGGUUAACGAGGAGGAAGGUGGGGAUGACGUCAAGUCCUCAUGGCCUUUAUACCCAGGGCUACACACGUGCUACAAUGGGCUGUACAAUGGGUCGCCAAUCCGCGAGGAUGAGCCAAUCCCAAAAAGCAGCUCCCAGUUCGGAUUGAAGUCUGCAACUCGACUUCAUGAAGUUGGAAUCGCUAGUAAUCGUGGAUCAGCAUGCCACGGUGAAUACGUUCCCGGGCCU
Molecule: ribosomal RNA, 1398 nt
Filed under: uncultured prokaryote
Description: partial 16S ribosomal RNA
Rfam family: Bacterial small subunit ribosomal RNA
Source: RNAcentral